This 493-nucleotide ribosomal RNA is filed under the name uncultured bacterium. RNAcentral describes it as "partial 16S ribosomal RNA". It matches the Rfam family "Bacterial small subunit ribosomal RNA", at positions 30 to 523 of the family's 1533-position model. The record is from RNAcentral.
AUUGAACGCUGGCGGCAUGCUUUACACAUGCAAGUCGAACGGUAACAGGUUAAGCUGACGAGUGGCGCACGGGUGAGUAAUGCAUCGGAACGUGCCCGGUCGUGGCGGAUAACGCAGCGAAAGCUGCGCUAAUACCGCAUACGAUCUGAGGAUGACAGCGGGCGACCGUCAGGCCCCGCGCGAUCGUAGCGGCCGAUGGCAGAUUUGGUAGUUGGUGGGGUAAAGGCUCACCAAGCCAACGAUCUGUAGCUGGUCUGAGAGGACGACCAGCCACACUGGGACUGAGACACGGCCCAGACUCCUACGGGAGGCAGCAGUGGGGAAUUUUGGAGAAUGGGCGAAAGCCUGAUCCAGCAAUGCUGCGUGCAGGAAGAAGGCCUUCGGGUUGUAAACUGCUUUUGUACGGAGCGAAAAGGUCUCCUCUAAUACAGGGGGCUCAUGACGGUACCGUAAGAAUAAGCACCGGCUAACUACGUGCCAGCCGCCGCCGUAA